This 463-nucleotide ribosomal RNA is filed under the name uncultured bacterium. Its description in RNAcentral is "partial 16S ribosomal RNA". It matches the Rfam family "Bacterial small subunit ribosomal RNA", at positions 28 to 507 of the family's 1533-position model. The record is from RNAcentral.
GACGAACGCUGGCGGCGUGCUUAACACAUGCAAGUCGAACGGUGAACCUCUUCGGAGGGGAUCAGUGGCGAACGGGUGAGUAACACGUGGGCAACCUGCCCCCGGCUCUGGGAUAACUCCAAGAAAUUGGGGCUAAUACCGGAUGUUCACCGCUUCCCGCAUGGGUGGUGGUGGAAAGGGUUUCCGGCUGGGGAUGGGCCCGCGGCCUAUCAGCUUGUUGGUGGGGUAGUGGCCUACCAAGGCGACGACGGGUAGCCGGCCUGAGAGGGUGACCGGCCACACUGGGACUGAGACACGGCCCAGACUCCUACGGGGGGCAGAAGUGGGGAAUAUUGCGCAAGGGGCGGAAGCCUGACGAAGCGACGCCGCGUGGGGGAUGGCGGCCUUCGGGUUGUAAACCUCUUUCAGCAGGGACGAAGCGCAAGUGACGGUACCUGCAGAAGAAGCACCGGCCAACUACGUG